ACGCCAGUAGCUCAGUUGGCAGAGCAACGGAUUCCAAAUCCGUAGGUCGAGUGUUCGAGUCACUCCUGGCGUG
RNAcentral lists this transfer RNA (73 nucleotides) under Phycisphaera sp. TMED151. Its description in RNAcentral is "tRNA-Trp". It matches the Rfam family "tRNA". Rfam says of the family: Transfer RNA (tRNA) molecules are approximately 80 nucleotides in length. Their secondary structure includes four short double-helical elements and three loops (D, anti-codon, and T loops). RNAcentral also lists the same sequence under 4 other names. Lineage: Bacteria; Pseudomonadati; Planctomycetota; Phycisphaerae; Phycisphaerales; Phycisphaeraceae. The record is from RNAcentral.